RNAcentral lists this ribosomal RNA (502 nucleotides) under uncultured bacterium. RNAcentral's name for it is "partial 16S ribosomal RNA". It matches the Rfam family "Bacterial small subunit ribosomal RNA", at positions 30 to 523 of the family's 1533-position model. The record is from RNAcentral.
AUUGAACGCUGGCGGAAUGCUUUACACAUGCAAGUCGAACGGCAGCACGGGUGCUUGCACCUGGUGGCGAGUGACGAACGGGUGAGUAAUAUAUCGGAACGUAUCCAAUAAUGGGGGAUAACUAGCCGAAAGGUUAGCUAAUACCGCAUACGCCCUGAGGGGGAAAGCUGGGGAUCGUAAGACCUAGCGUUGAUGGAGCGGCCGAUAUCUGAUUAGCUAGUUGGUGGGGUAAGAGCCUACCAAGGCGACGAUCAGUAGCUGGUCUGAGAGGACGACCAGCCACACUGGAACUGAGACACGGUCCAGACUCCUACGGGAGGCAGCAGUGGGGAAUUUUGGACAAUGGGGGCAACCCUGAUCCAGCCAUUCCGCGUGAGUGAAGAAGGCCUUCGGGUUGUAAAGCUCUUUCGCAAGGGAAGAAAACUCGAUCUCUAAUAUAGGUUGAGGCUGACGGUACCUUGAUAAGAAGCACCGGCUAACUACGUGCCAGCAGCCGCCGCGG